GCCUACUUUCAGCCUCAAGUGUGUUUUAACAGCGACAGGUUGAGGUGUUGAUCCGAAGACUGACCGAUUUUGUGAAGUCAAGAAGAUGAGUGGAUCUGCGUCUACAAGUGGCCGUUUAAUGGCUGAAGGGUCUCAACUCUUCAAUGGAAAUCCUCCAAACUUUCACACUGAACCCAGACCUUCACAACCAUGGGUCCAGUCUAUUUCAAGCAGUCAGGAGAACCAGAACACCCUGAAGGGGAUUCAAUGUGAGAGGAACGACUCCAAGGUGAUUUAUAUAGACUUCUGAACCAAGCCUUUAUCAAACAAGAUUCACUGAAGUCAAGAAGAUGAAUAAAUCUCAGAGAGGAUCAGCGUCUUCAAAUGUCAGUUUAAUUCAACAAUGAACAUGAAGUGAGACAAAUUGAAACAGUGUUUAACAGACAUGAGGAGGACAUCUUCAAGGCCAAACACUAACAUGUUGUUAUGGAUUCAUUAAAAGUAACCUAAAAGUA
Molecule: long non-coding RNA, 494 nt
Organism: Perca fluviatilis (European perch)
Lineage: Eukaryota; Metazoa; Chordata; Actinopteri; Perciformes; Percidae
Exons: 6
Source: RefSeq, a predicted model, not a curated record